ACAUUGUGGUUGUGAGGUGGAAAAGGAACCGUCAUCCUCCAGCUGUUAAUAUUAGUGAUGGAAAUAUUGUUAGGUUGUUCUAAAAGGAGUCGGCACCUCAAGUUCAUAGCCUGCAAGUUCUGCAGCCAGGCGGUGUCUUAUCCACCUCAUUAUGCUGUGCCUGGUUGUCAGCAACAUUGUGGUUGUGAGGUGGAAAAGGAACCGUCAUCCUCCAGCUGUUAAUAUUAGUGAUGGAAAUAUUGUUAGGUUGUUCUAAAAGGAGUCGGCACCUCAAGUUCAUAGCCUGCAAGUUCUGCGGCCAGGCGGUGUCUCAUCCACCUCCUGAUGCUGUGCCUGGUUCUCAACAUUGUGGUUGUGAGGUGGAAAAGGAACCGUCAUCCUCCAGCUGUUAAUAUUAGUGAUGGAAAUAUUUUUAGGUUGUUCUAAAAG
Micropterus salmoides (largemouth bass) is the source of this 429-nucleotide long non-coding RNA. RefSeq lists it as uncharacterized. NCBI's taxonomy places the organism in Eukaryota, Metazoa, Chordata, Actinopteri, Centrarchiformes, Centrarchidae. The record is from RefSeq and is a predicted model, not a curated record. The transcript is spliced from 3 exons.